Molecule: non-coding RNA, 1500 nt
Organism: Delphinapterus leucas (beluga whale)
Lineage: Eukaryota; Metazoa; Chordata; Mammalia; Artiodactyla; Monodontidae
Source: RefSeq, a predicted model, not a curated record
GCCCAAGGGGUUUCUCUCUGAGGGUGAAAGGCCUGUUGGGUGUGAAAUUCACAUGCAUGUGGAUUUCAAACAAAUGUCUUUUCUGUUUCAGCCCUAUUUUUGGUUUUGUGACAGAGAUGAUACAUUUGUUAACACAGGGACAGCUCUUCCCUGGUAGCACCUGCUGUUUGGGGCCGCCGGGACCUGGCCAUGACCUAGAACGCAGGGCUCUGUGGUCAGGUGGGAAAGGAAGGCCCUGACAGACCGCACCAGCCACUUGAAUGUAAAGGUUAUAUGACCUCAAUCCCAUGAAGGUUGUGGUUGUAUUUUCUGCAUUUCUGUGAAAAGGUAACUUUGUAGUAGUGGCCACUGGGCUCUUUCUGAUUGGAUGGGUGGAUAAAGUUAUCCAUUUCCAUGCAGGGGUUUUUGUCCUACUCUCUGUGUCAUUUUGUUACACAACUAGCUUGCCAGCCCCUGUUCCCACCGCCCUGUUCACAGGCAGACUGUGGCUUGUCAUGGGACAGGGUGGGACUUCCCUCUGCCAUCUGCAGCGAGGGAUGAAAUACAGGCGGGGCAAGGUGUUCUGAAGUGAGCAGGUGUGACCAUCAUGCCGACAGCACAGGAAAAUAUCAAGAUGACCUUGGCGGGAAUCAGGAAACGUCUGCAAGCAGACAUGCUCGGCCGUCUCAGUGAAUUUGCUGCAGAGCUCAGUCUUCUCUGCCCCCCGUGCAAUGAAAGUACAUGAGUGGAAACCAUUGAAAGAGCGCUUUGAGAACUUGUGCCUGACGUUGAGGAUACAGGGGUGCCCGGUGGAGGGAUGUAGAAUGUCUCACAAAAUGUACAGGCAAUAAGAUCAAAACAGACGAUGAGGUCAGAGCCAAGUGAAAAAGAAGAGAACUUCAAUCCUGUAGGAAGAAAACACCACUUCUAGAAACCACUUUCUAAUAUAUUCUAAGACAGAACGUCGGAAGUCAAAGACAUCUCAGGACAACGGUUCUCCAUCGGUAUUCUUGUGGAAAGCAUGUGUUCUACGGGUUGAACCAAGGUUUCUACUGUUAAAAUAAAACAAAGGCCUUUUCUCACGGCACACACAAUGUUGAGAAAAUGGAUAGAAACUGCUCAAUUUAAAAAGUUCCCGCAGCUACUUUUUCUUAAAUCUUUUGCACAUUCUAUGGCUUCUCUGCCAGAAAACACUUAAACUGAUACAGAAAGGAGGGAACAAGUACAAACCCUGAGCAGAAUCCCUUGGAAAUGGCUCAGGGAUGUCGUUUGACAGCUGGGUUUUCAUAGAGAGCUGUCUUCGUAGUUGUGAAUGUGUGUUGCGUACUUUCGAUAUUGACAUUCUUCUAAGCACUAAGAAGGAAAAAUCCUAGUUUUGAAAAUAGAGUUGAACAUCAAUCUUUGCUUAGGCUCUGUAACUUUCUGGUGGUUCACUCCCUAAAUAAUUUUAAGAACCCCUGUUUAAAUAAAUGACUCUACUGGAUAGUCAAAAACACGAAUUGAGGCAUUUUUUUCCAAGAC